UCCAGACUGAAAGUGGAAAUGCUGCGCCGCUUCAAGAGCCAAGCAGCAACUUUUCAGGGGGGAGUACAUCUUAGUUACUUUGUGUUUGUGUCCGCUUCCUCACCAACUCACUGGGUGUGCAUGGACUAACACUCAUUUGUGUACUGAAAUGUAUGAUGAGAUUGUAAAUAAUUUUUGAACUGUAUGCUGUUUUGAUUGUACUUUUUUGUUUUUCUGCUUUCAAUCAUUUAAAGCGCAUUGAAUUGUGUAUGAAAUGCGCUCUAUAAAUACAUUUUGCUUUGAAUGAGCAAUUUCUCGUAUUGAUCAACACAAAAACUGAAUACUUGUAUUUUCUUCAGGGUGAAGCCCAGCAAUUGUACACAACCGGCACGCCGUUCCAAGCUGAACAGCGUCUUCUCCCUUGAGGCAAGUGUCCUUUAACUACUUGAAUUAAACUUGUAAUAAUGUUAAAGUGGCACUAUAUGUACAAAAAUACACAACAGAGUAAGACUUAAAUUCAGUGAAAGGCACUUUUUCAAAACAAUGUACAGGAAGGUUUUCUCAAGCAGGCAACACUUUUUGUACUUUGGGGGUCUUGUUUGUCUGGCUCCCCCCCCAAAAUUCAUGUUAUACUUUGUGGUUUUUAUUCUCAAUCUCACUCUUCAUGUGGAAGUGUUCAAUCUUAUUUUCUUUUUAACAUUAUGUAUUGUACUUUUAAUUUUUGGUUUGUCUUACAAAGGUCACUGUUAGGGUCUUUUUUACUUUAUUUAUAUAUUUUUUCCCUCCCUCUACAUCUGUGUUGUUGCGGGGCAGAGGUCGAGCUGGAUCGGGUAAUAUUGACAAAAUCACAAAAUGGAGUUUCCAGCUCACAACUAAUGCGAAGCAAAUGUAUUCGUAUCGUGCAGGGGUGUCAAACUCAUUUUUGUUGCGUGCCACAUUGUUGUUCUGGCUUCCCGCGGAGCGCCGUUAUGACUGUGAACCUAUCGAAAACAUUGUCUCAUAAUGACAAUGAUGGGUAAAAUGUUCACUGUUAUUUCAAAAAGGUGAUUGUAACAUAAAAUGCUUGCAAUAUCUCAUCGUUAUAAAAGUAACGACACCAAGUCACGUGAAGUCGACACGCGUGCUUUGCUUUUGCGGGCCAGAUCUGGCCCCCGGGCCACCAGUUUGGCACCUUUUGAUAUAGUGCAGUUCAUACACAACUCAACGUGCUUUACAUAAGUUUAAAAACAAAAAAAGCUUCACAUUUAAAACAGAGAGAGGGAGAAAAAAAGGUACAAUUAAAAUGGAGUGCAGUGCAAGAAAUAUUAAAAAAAAAAAAAAAAAGUCCUCCAAGCUUCUCCAGCUCAGCGUCUUAUCUGCCAGUGGAUUUAAAGCUUUCUGACCAGGCGGGUGAGGCUGGUGGAGGCCACCUCAUCAGCACUGGGGCGCCCCAAGGUUGUGUCCUCUCGCCACUGCUCUUCUCCCUCUCCACGAACGACUGCAUCUCAACGCACCCGGACGUCAAACUCCUGAAGUUUGCAGAAGACACCGCAGUCAUCGGCCUCUUCAAAGACCGUGAAGAGUCUGCAUAGCGACGGGAAGCGGAGCUGCGGUGCGGCCGACACAACCUGGAGCUGAACACGCUCAAGACUGUGGAGAUGAUCGUGGACUUAAUGAGGGAUCCUUCACCACAGCUGCCUUGUCACCCGUCGAGACCUUCAAGUUCCUGGGAAUUACAGUCUCUCAGGACCUGAAGUGGGUGAUCAACAUCAACUCCGUCCUCAAAAAGGCCCAGCAGCGGAUGUGCUUCUGAGGAACCACGGCUUGCCGCAGGAGCUGUUGAGGCAGUUCUACACACGAUUCAGUCCUGUGUUCUUCCAUCACAGUCUGGUUUGGUGUAGCUACAAAAAAGGACCAACUCCGACUGCAACGGACAAUCAAAACUGCUGAAAGGGUUGUCGGUACCCCCCGACCCGCCCUUGAGGACUUGCACGCUGCCAGAACUAAGACACGAGCGUGCCAAAACCUCUCGGACCCUCCACAUCCUGGUCACCGGCUCUUCCAGCUCCUUCCCUCAGGUUGGAAGAGGAGCCUGCCAGAUGGGAUGAGGGCAAAGGGACCCUUCCACAAUCAAGCAGCCCAAAAGUUAAUUCUUAUUCAUUGUCCUCUUCCCUACUUGCUGUGGUGCAGGAUGGGACGAGGGGCAUCGAGAUCCACCGGACGAGGGUUUAGAGAUGAACUGAGGGUAACCGACACGCAAGCCAGUGGAACAAGCGACUGACUGACAGCUGUAGGAGGCUUGUUUUUGUUGUUGGAGGAGGAGGAGGAGAUAUUUGGGACAGGAGGCAACAAGCAGAACCAGAACGAGGUAGUAAGUGCAAAUGCGCAAAAAAUAAAGGAGACCUGCUCCAGAGUCAUGGUGUUGAUGUGCUGGUUCUGUAGAGUGGAAGGGGAGCCGGAUGAAAGAGAAGGUAAUGAAACGCAAUCAAAAAGAAAAUCAAAUGUCACACUUUUUUUCUUUUGCACAGCUCAGAAGGUGCCGGAAUGGGAGGAGGGAAAAGGAACCAUUCCACACAUCAAAUUAAGACUCAAUGGGCACAAGAGUUGUCUGCAUAUAAUCUGUCUGCGGGUGCAUGUAAAUGGUGAACGUGGGGGGGCAGAGUACUGAGCUUUGCGGUUUGCCUGUGGCUACGGAAGGGUAGCGUGGCGGUAGGUCCGAUUGUAAUGAGGGCAGGCGUGGAAAGUGUCGGUAGAGUUGACGGUUGGACGCGGUGGUUUGGUUCAGUGUUUUUUUGCGAAGGAAGGUCGAGACGGUCCGCAGGUUGUUUGGCUCGGCUCGGAGCAGAGCGGCUCUCGGUUUGGAGUGGACGUGUACAGUGCAGGCUUGGAAUGAGGAAUUUCUCGUAUUGACCAACACAAAACUGAAGACUUGUGUUUUAUUAAGCGUGAAGACCAACAACCGGCACGCCGUUCCAAGCUGAACAGCUUCGUCUCCC
Long non-coding RNA from Phycodurus eques (leafy seadragon), 2954 nucleotides. RefSeq lists it as uncharacterized. The record is from RefSeq and is a predicted model, not a curated record. The transcript is spliced from 3 exons. Lineage: Eukaryota; Metazoa; Chordata; Actinopteri; Syngnathiformes; Syngnathidae.